RNAcentral lists this long non-coding RNA (1284 nucleotides) under Cottoperca gobio. RNAcentral describes it as "lncRNA (ENSCGOG00000010635.1)". Lineage: Eukaryota; Metazoa; Chordata; Actinopteri; Perciformes; Bovichtidae. The record is from RNAcentral.
CAUGGUGACCACCAGUUACAUAACAACAGAGGGUACCAACUGUAGCUGCAGCGUUGAGAGGUGAUGAACAGAAAUGAUUUCCACCACCAAUUUAGAUUUCGAAAACACUGUGUGGGAUUCAAAUGCUGUUAAAUGGUGGAGCGACUGUUUCACUUUGUGUCCCGGUGCCUGGCGUAGUUUUCUUCAAGCACAUGCACAUCCAACCUUCUGUUGUCCUGCACCUCGCCCUGCCUGCCUUUUAGUUCUCUCUUUUAUUAAAUGACAUUACAUUUAGGGGACUGGAUUAUAAAGCGAGCGCACCCCAUUAGGACUCUGCGCCUCCUGUAUCACAUGAUUGGCCUGCAGGCCCUGAGGGGGGGCAUCUUCCCACGCUAUGUCACAGAACAUAUUUAUUGUUCGCUGUGCACUGCAAUCCCGCAGCGUGAUGAAGACGACGUCAGUGCUUCCAACCCCGAGCUGCUGCUGCACAUUGUUGCUCUUUGUACUGGCGAGUCAAGCAAACCUUAAAGUUUUAUUCACAAUCUUUAUUUUGCAACAGACGAAGCACAAUUAUUUAGAAUGUAUAUAAUUAAUGUUAACGUUGGUUUGGUUAACUUUGCAUUCAUGAUACACCACUUGGUGCAGCACAUUUAUCCAUCAUUUGUUACUUUAAGACAUUUUCCAUCCUUUACUUUUAGCUAUUUGUUUCAACAGUUUAUACAUUAACACAUCGUUUUCCACCAUUUAUCUAUUUAUAACUUGUAGCUACAGUAAAGUUUAAACUCAUUUGUUCCUAAUCUGAUUAUUUUUAAAUCCCACACACGCUUAAUGAACUGCAGAAGUACUCCUGGGUGUCGAGCUGCGACGACAAGUCGACUAAUCGAUCGACGGGAAAAUAAUCUCCAAUCUCUUUAAAGUAAUUUUUCCUGCUAAAAUGUCGUCCUGGUUUGAACUCAGGUGGUAUAGAUCCUCUUCGUGUACGAACACUGGCAGGAAGACAGACAGCUAGAUGAAGGCUAACUGCUCGCAGACGUGGCUCCGCUCUAAAUUUAGUCCCCCCUCCACUUGUGAACUAAAUACCAACGACAACAGUCGAACUGACACCCACCCACUCGUUCAGUCCCCCUUCCCACCACAAGCCCCAGUGCCGGGGAGCGUGAACACCCACACGGGGCGACUACCCAGUCUGACCCUCUCGCCUCUCACCUUUCCGACUUCCUACCCCGAGGAGACAGACACAAGUCCAGACUCCGCCCUGCAGGUCCUUCAGGACAGCCUGUACUGAUGGGCUUUGUCUCCUGUGAC